Haliotis rufescens (red abalone) is the source of this 2024-nucleotide RNA transcript. It is a transcript of the gene named bifunctional peptidase and (3S)-lysyl hydroxylase JMJD7-like, with no coding region annotated. NCBI's taxonomy places the organism in Eukaryota, Metazoa, Mollusca, Gastropoda, Lepetellida, Haliotidae. The record is from RefSeq and is a predicted model, not a curated record. The transcript is spliced from 8 exons.
UUAAUAAAUGUAUAUCGACGCUGUGAGAUGCACAAUCAAACCUCUCUAUUGAGGACGAGAUUAUUGAUGGUUAUACGGCUGAAUACGUUGCCUAGAUAUCAAUAAUCUCAGAAUUAUUUAUUAUGAUCUGAUGAGUUGCACGCUGUGAGAGUGUAAGUUGGAAAUCAUCACUAGAUAACGAGUGGUAUCGAAGGCGUAGGAUCGUAUAUGGAGAUAUAUACGUGGGUAUAUGCUUAGUACCUACCUUGACUAGUGGUUGUUUAAAUAAUAACUACUUCUGACGGUCUCUUUACAAAUGCAUGCGAAUUUGUAAUUGUACAGUCACUCAUGAACGGCAGGUAAUAUUUCAGACGUCAACGACGCCGUCAGUAGCAGCAGGCGACGCGGAAAUAAUCUAUAGCAAAUACAUUUGCUGUAACAACAGGUUUACGACUUGUCACACGCAGAAAAGAAUCUGCUGUUACUUUGUCAUAGUCGUUGCAGAUAAAAGCAGGUGAAAUGAAGGCUGUCACAUUCUGUUGGUUUUGGAGUGUCUUGAUUCUGCUGGACACUACGACCUGUAGCAAUGGUGAGAAGAAAGAUGGAAGUACGAUAGCACCACCGGGACAUAAUCUGCCCUUUGGAUCACAUACCACUCCCUUUGAAGUACCUGUUGUCGACAAGUUUCCAACGCCAAAUGUGUUCUUUGAGGAAUACAUGCAUAAAAGUAGGCCUUUGGUGAUACGGUCGAUUUUGAACUUGACAACAUUUCCUGCAGUUGUGAAAUGGACGGACGACUUCUUCAGGAAGGAGGUGGGGGAGGAGUACAUCGACGCAGAGCCGGCCCGGAAGGAGAACCGGAACCUGACUCCCGAACAGAUGACGAUGCGGUCCUUCCUGCAGCAAUACGCCGAAAGGGAGCUCUACCUCGUCAGCGGCAUCGAGGUGUUCCGGGCCAAGGACAAGCUCAUGGAUGACCUGUAUGUGCCCCGGUCACUGCACUGUGGGGGACUCCAGUUCCUCAUCGAGUCUCUGGUCAUGUGGUUCAGCAGCGGCGGCACCAAGUCCGUCCUCCACAACGACGACUACGAGAACUUCAACUGCGUCCUGGACGGGACCAAGGAGCUGGUAUUCGUAGACACGAAACACCGCGAGCAGGUACAAGCGGAUGGUUACCAUGAGGACGGUAGCUAUAGUGACGUGGAUGUUGACAAAGUUGACAUGCACAAGUUCCCGCGUCUAGGGGAGGUGCCCGUCUACAAGGCUGUGUUGCAUAAGGGGGACUGCCUCUACAUACCCUACCAGUGGUACCAUCAAGUCAACUCCCCCGGGGGCCGGAGCCUCGCCAUCAACUUCUGGUUCCUGCCCACCCGCUGGUUCAACACCUCCGACUGUCAGGACAAGAACCUCCAACACCAAACACAACCGAGUUCAAAGUUCGACAUCGGACAGAACCAAAUGCAGGCCUGGAACAAAUUCACAUGGUCCUUUCAAGAGAAUGAAACGUCUAAAGCCAAAUACAAAGAAGCAAUUUCAACAAAUUUUCCCAAGUCUCAAUUUCUUCAAGAUGAGGUACUGUAUGACACCACCCACUUCAGCCACAUUGCUCCACCCAUGUUGACUCACUGUACGGCUCCACCCACUUUGCCUAACGUCAGGCAAUGUAUGACACCACCCACUUCAGCCACAUGACUCCACCCACAUCAACUCCCUGCAUGACUCCACCCACUUUGCCUAACGUCAGGCACUGUAUGACACCACCCACUUCAGCCACAUCACUCCACCCACAUCGACUCGCUGCAUGACUCCAUCCACGUUGUGGUGGUGAAAUGGGGUUAAACGUCGCGUCCAAGAUUAUUGCACUUAUAUAGCAACGUUCCACCCACGUUGACUCACUUCAAUCACUUUAUUCAAGGACCUUGACAAAGACGGCAGCUUGUCGCUGUCGCUGGAGGAAUUGUACAAUGUGGACAUCAACAAGAUUCUGCAGAAGUAUUCAAGCCUUGAUGCAGCACUAACUGCAGAGGACAUUACACAUGAUGAAC